CUCCAAUUCGGCCAUGGGGGUACUUGAAAUCAAAUUCUAAACGGAUAGGAGAUUUUUACUUUUUUUAGCGGUCAGAUGUGACUCUGACGCAGCGGAGGACGACGGUCGGCUCUAUUCUCUGGCAACUGUUUCUCCUUCUCCGGCAAAAGGCUGGUGGCUAGGGUUUGGAUUCGGUGUGAUACGAGAUAUUUAUACUUGUCUUACUUAAAUAUGAACAGUUCAUCGCGUUUGAUCUCGACCGUCCGAUCACGUUUAAAGAUGAAAUAAAUUUGUGUUGUUCGUCACGAUUUGAUUUC
This 296-nucleotide long non-coding RNA is filed under the name Carica papaya (papaya). RNAcentral describes it as "long non-coding RNA (CPAP_LNC012858)". The record is from RNAcentral. Lineage: Eukaryota; Viridiplantae; Streptophyta; Magnoliopsida; Brassicales; Caricaceae.